RNAcentral lists this non-coding RNA (49 nucleotides) under Trichobilharzia regenti. The record is from RNAcentral. Lineage: Eukaryota; Metazoa; Platyhelminthes; Trematoda; Strigeidida; Schistosomatidae.
GUUCUGAUGAAGAGUCCCAAAAUAGGACGAAGCAGCUGUCUGGCAAAAC